RNAcentral lists this ribosomal RNA (2902 nucleotides) under Klebsiella pneumoniae. RNAcentral describes it as "23S ribosomal RNA". It matches the Rfam family "Bacterial large subunit ribosomal RNA". Lineage: Bacteria; Pseudomonadati; Pseudomonadota; Gammaproteobacteria; Enterobacterales; Enterobacteriaceae. The record is from RNAcentral.
GGUUAAGCGACUAAGCGUACACGGUGGAUGCCCUGGCAGUCAGAGGCGAUGAAGGACGUGCUAAUCUGCGAAAAGCGUCGGUAAGGUGAUAUGAACCGUUAUAGCCGGCGAUGUCCGAAUGGGGAAACCCAGUGCAAUUCGUUGCACUAUCGUUAACUGAAUACAUAGGUUAACGAGGCGAACCGGGGGAACUGAAACAUCUAAGUACCCCGAGGAAAAGAAAUCAACCGAGAUUCCCCCAGUAGCGGCGAGCGAACGGGGAGCAGCCCAGAGUCUGAAUCAGCUUGUGUGUUAGUGGAACGGUCUGGAAAGUCCGACGGUACAGGGUGAUAGUCCCGUACACCAAAAUGCACAGGCUGUGAACUCGAAGAGUAGGGCGGGACACGUGGUAUCCUGUCUGAAUAUGGGGGGACCAUCCUCCAAGGCUAAAUACUCCUGACUGACCGAUAGUGAACCAGUACCGUGAGGGAAAGGCGAAAAGAACCCCGGCGAGGGGAGUGAAAAAGAACCUGAAACCGUGUACGUACAAGCAGUGGGAGCACCUUCGGGUGUGACUGCGUACCUUUUGUAUAAUGGGUCAGCGACUUAUAUUCUGUAGCAAGGUUAACCGUAUAGGGGAGCCGCAGGGAAACCGAGUCUUAACUGGGCGUUAAGUUGCAGGGUAUAGACCCGAAACCCGGUGAUCUAGCCAUGGGCAGGUUGAAGGUUGGGUAACACUAACUGGAGGACCGAACCGACUAAUGUUGAAAAAUUAGCGGAUGACUUGUGGCUGGGGGUGAAAGGCCAAUCAAACCGGGAGAUAGCUGGUUCUCCCCGAAAGCUAUUUAGGUAGCGCCUCGUGAACUCAUCUUCGGGGGUAGAGCACUGUUUCGGCUAGGGGGUCAUCCCGACUUACCAACCCGAUGCAAACUACGAAUACCGAAGAAUGUUAUCACGGGAGACACACGGCGGGUGCUAACGUCCGUCGUGAAGAGGGAAACAACCCAGACCGCCAGCUAAGGUCCCAAAGUCAUGGUUAAGUGGGAAACGAUGUGGGAAGGCACAGACAGCCAGGAUGUUGGCUUAGAAGCAGCCAUCAUUUAAAGAAAGCGUAAUAGCUCACUGGUCGAGUCGGCCUGCGCGGAAGAUGUAACGGGGCUAAACCAUGCACCGAAGCUGCGGCAGCGACACUAUGUGUUGUUGGGUAGGGGAGCGUUCUGUAAGCCUGCGAAGGUGACCUGUGAGGGUUGCUGGAGGUAUCAGAAGUGCGAAUGCUGACAUAAGUAACGAUAAAGCGGGUGAAAAGCCCGCUCGCCGGAAGACCAAGGGUUCCUGUCCAACGUUAAUCGGGGCAGGGUGAGUCGACCCCUAAGGCGAGGCCGAAAGGCGUAGUCGAUGGGAAACAGGUUAAUAUUCCUGUACUUGGUGUUACUGCGAAGGGGGGACGGAGAAGGCUAUGUUAGCCGGGCGACGGUUGUCCCGGUUUAAGCAUGUAGGCUGGUUAUCCAGGCAAAUCCGGAUAAUCAAGGCUGAGGUGUGAUGACGAGGCACUACGGUGCUGAAGUAACAAAUGCCCUGCUUCCAGGAAAAGCCUCUAAGCAUCAGGUAACAUCAAAUCGUACCCCAAACCGACACAGGUGGUCAGGUAGAGAAUACCAAGGCGCUUGAGAGAACUCGGGUGAAGGAACUAGGCAAAAUGGUGCCGUAACUUCGGGAGAAGGCACGCUGGUGUGUAGGUGAAGCCCCUGCGGGUGGAGCUGAGACCAGUCGAAGAUACCAGCUGGCUGCAACUGUUUAUUAAAAACACAGCACUGUGCAAACACGAAAGUGGACGUAUACGGUGUGACGCCUGCCCGGUGCCGGAAGGUUAAUUGAUGGGGUUAUCCGUAAGGAGAAGCUCUUGAUCGAAGCCCCGGUAAACGGCGGCCGUAACUAUAACGGUCCUAAGGUAGCGAAAUUCCUUGUCGGGUAAGUUCCGACCUGCACGAAUGGCGUAAUGAUGGCCAGGCUGUCUCCACCCGAGACUCAGUGAAAUUGAACUCGCUGUGAAGAUGCAGUGUACCCGCGGCAAGACGGAAAGACCCCGUGAACCUUUACUAUAGCUUGACACUGAACAUUGAGCCUUGAUGUGUAGGAUAGGUGGGAGGCUUUGAAGCGUGGACGCCAGUCUGCGUGGAGCCAACCUUGAAAUACCACCCUUUAAUGUUUGAUGUUCUAACGUUGGCCCCUGACCGGGGUUGCGGACAGUGUCUGGUGGGUAGUUUGACUGGGGCGGUCUCCUCCCAAAGCGUAACGGAGGAGCACGAAGGUUAGCUAAUCCUGGUCGGACAUCAGGAGGUUAGUGCAAUGGCAUAAGCUAGCUUGACUGCGAGCGUGACGGCGCGAGCAGGUGCGAAAGCAGGUCAUAGUGAUCCGGUGGUUCUGAAUGGAAGGGCCAUCGCUCAACGGAUAAAAGGUACUCCGGGGAUAACAGGCUGAUACCGCCCAAGAGUUCAUAUCGACGGCGGUGUUUGGCACCUCGAUGUCGGCUCAUCACAUCCUGGGGCUGAAGUAGGUCCCAAGGGUAUGGCUGUUCGCCAUUUAAAGUGGUACGCGAGCUGGGUUUAGAACGUCGUGAGACAGUUCGGUCCCUAUCUGCCGUGGGCGCUGGAGAAUUGAGGGGGGCUGCUCCUAGUACGAGAGGACCGGAGUGGACGCAUCACUGGUGUUCGGGUUGUCAUGCCAAUGGCACUGCCCGGUAGCUAAAUGCGGAAGAGAUAAGUGCUGAAAGCAUCUAAGCACGAAACUUGCCCCGAGAUGAGUUCUCCCUGAGACUUUAAGUCUCCUGAAGGAACGUUGAAGACGACGACGUUGAUAGGCCGGGUGUGUAAGCGCAGCGAUGCGUUGAGCUAACCGGUACUAAUGAACCGUGAGGCUUAACCUU